GUUGAUAGUUUCUUUUGCUGUGCAGAAGCUCUCUAGUUUAAUUAGGUCACACUUGUCAAUUUUGGUUUUGUUGCAAUUGCUUUUGAGGACCUAGUUGUGAAUUCUUUCCCAAGGCCAAUGUCCAGAAUGGUGUUUUCUAGGUUUUCUUCUAGGAUUCUUAUAGUUUGAGGUUUUACUUUUAAAUCCUUAAUCAAUCUUGAGUUAAUUUUUGUUUACGGUGAAAGGUAGGGGUCCAGUUUUAUUCUUCUGCAUAUGGCUAGCCAUAUAAACAAAAAUUAAAUCCACC
RNAcentral lists this long non-coding RNA (286 nucleotides) under Homo sapiens (human). RNAcentral describes it as "LHRI_LNC2119.1". The record is from RNAcentral. Lineage: Eukaryota; Metazoa; Chordata; Mammalia; Primates; Hominidae.